UACGAAGGGGGCUAGCGUUGCUCGGAAUCACUGGGCGUAAAGGGUGCGUAGGCGGGUCUUUAAGUCAGGGGUGAAAUCCUGGAGUCAACUCCAGAACUGCCUUUGAUACUGAAGAUCUUGAGUUCGGGAGAGGUGAGUGGAACUGGCGAGUGUAGAGGUGAAAUUCGUAGAUAUUCGCAAGAACACCAGUGGCGAAGGCGGCUCACUGGCCCGAUACUGACGCUGAGGCACGGAAAGCGUGGGGAGCAAACAGG
RNAcentral lists this ribosomal RNA (254 nucleotides) under uncultured bacterium. RNAcentral describes it as "partial 16S ribosomal RNA". It matches the Rfam family "Bacterial small subunit ribosomal RNA", at positions 524 to 776 of the family's 1533-position model. The record is from RNAcentral.